Molecule: ribosomal RNA, 585 nt
Filed under: uncultured bacterium
Lineage: Bacteria
Description: partial 16S ribosomal RNA
Rfam family: Bacterial small subunit ribosomal RNA
Source: RNAcentral
UGGGGAAUUUUGGACAAUGGGCGAAAGCCUGAUCCAGCAAUGCCGCGUGUGUGAAGAAGGCCUUCGGGUUGUAAAGCACUUUUGUCCGGAAAGAAAUCCUUGGCUCUAAUACAGUCGGGGGAUGACGGUACCGGAAGAAUAAGCACCGGCUAACUACGUGCCAGCAGCCGCGGUAAUACGUAGGGUGCAAGCGUUAAUCGGAAUUACUGGGCGUAAAGCGUGCGCAGGCGGUUUGCUAAGACCGAUGUGAAAUCCCCGGGCUCAACCUGGGAACUGCAUUGGUGACUGGCAGGCUAGAGUAUGGCAGAGGGGGGUAGAAUUCCACGUGUAGCAGUGAAAUGCGUAGAGAUGUGGAGGAAUACCGAUGGCGAAGGCAGCCCCUGGGCCAAUACUGACGCUCAUGCACGAAAGCGUGGGGAGCAAACAGGAUUAGAUACCCUGGUAGUCCACGCCCUAAAACGAUGUCAACUAGUUGUUGGGGAUUCAUUUCCUUAGUAACGUAGCUAACGCGUGAAGUUGACCGCCUGGGGAGUACGGUCGCAAGAUUAAAACUUAAAUGAAUUGACGGGGUCAUAGCUGUUUCCU